RNAcentral lists this transfer RNA (66 nucleotides) under Calineuria stigmatica. RNAcentral describes it as "tRNA-Trp". Lineage: Eukaryota; Metazoa; Arthropoda; Insecta; Plecoptera; Perlidae. The record is from RNAcentral.
AAGGUUUUAAGUUAAUUAAACUAAUAGCCUUCAAAGCUAUCAAUAAAGUCGCUUCUUUAAGCCUUA